AAUUGAAGAGUUUGAUCAUGGCUCAGAUUGAACGCUGGCGGCAGGCCUAACACAUGCAAGUCGAACGGUAACAGGAAGCAGCUUGCUGCUUUGCUGACGAGUGGCGGACGGGUGAGUAAUGUCUGGGAAACUGCCUGAUGGAGGGGGAUAACUACUGGAAACGGUAGCUAAUACCGCAUAACGUCGCAAGACCAAAGAGGGGGACCUUAGGGCCUCUUGCCAUCGGAUGUGCCCAGAUGGGAUUAGCUAGUAGGUGGGGUAACGGCUCACCUAGGCGACGAUCCCUAGCUGGUCUGAGAGGAUGACCAGCCACACUGGAACUGAGACACGGUCCAGACUCCUACGGGAGGCAGCAGUGGGGAAUAUUGCACAAUGGGCGCAAGCCUGAUGCAGCCAUGCCGCGUGUAUGAAGAAGGCCUUCGGGUUGUAAAGUACUUUCAGCGGGGAGGAAGGGAGUAAAGUUAAUACCUUUGCUCAUUGACGUUACCCGCAGAAGAAGCACCGGCUAACUCCGUGCCAGCAGCCGCGGUAAUACGGAGGGUGCAAGCGUUAAUCGGAAUUACUGGGCGUAAAGCGCACGCAGGCGGUUUGUUAAGUCAGAUGUGAAAUCCCCGGGCUCAACCUGGGAACUGCAUCUGAUACUGGCAAGCUUGAGUCUCGUAGAGGGGGGUAGAAUUCCAGGUGUAGCGGUGAAAUGCGUAGAGAUCUGGAGGAAUACCGGUGGCGAAGGCGGCCCCCUGGACGAAGACUGACGCUCAGGUGCGAAAGCGUGGGGAGCAAACAGGAUUAGAUACCCUGGUAGUCCACGCCGUAAACGAUGUCGACUUGGAGGUUGUGCCCUUGAGGCGUGGCUUCCGGAGCUAACGCGUUAAGUCGACCGCCUGGGGAGUACGGCCGCAAGGUUAAAACUCAAAUGAAUUGACGGGGGCCCGCACAAGCGGUGGAGCAUGUGGUUUAAUUCGAUGCAACGCGAAGAACCUUACCUGGUCUUGACAUCCACGGAAGUUUUCAGAGAUGAGAAUGUGCCUUCGGGAACCGUGAGACAGGUGCUGCAUGGCUGUCGUCAGCUCGUGUUGUGAAAUGUUGGGUUAAGUCCCGCAACGAGCGCAACCCUUAUCCUUUGUUGCCAGCGGUCCGGCCGGGAACUCAAAGGAGACUGCCAGUGAUAAACUGGAGGAAGGUGGGGAUGACGUCAAGUCAUCAUGGCCCUUACGACCAGGGCUACACACGUGCUACAAUGGCGCAUACAAAGAGAAGCGACCUCGCGAGAGCAAGCGGACCUCAUAAAGUGCGUCGUAGUCCGGAUUGGAGUCUGCAACUCGACUCCAUGAAGUCGGAAUCGCUAGUAAUCGUGGAUCAGAAUGCCACGGUGAAUACGUUCCCGGGCCUUGUACACACCGCCCGUCACACCAUGGGAGUGGGUUGCAAAAGAAGUAGGUAGCUUAACCUUCGGGAGGGCGCUUACCACUUUGUGAUUCAUGACUGGGGUGAAGUCGUAACAAGGUAACCGUAGGGGAACCUGCGGUUGGAUCACCUCCUUA
Molecule: ribosomal RNA, 1541 nt
Filed under: Escherichia coli
Lineage: Bacteria; Pseudomonadati; Pseudomonadota; Gammaproteobacteria; Enterobacterales; Enterobacteriaceae
Also listed under: 2 other names
Description: bacterial SSU rRNA
Rfam family: Bacterial small subunit ribosomal RNA
Source: RNAcentral